This 492-nucleotide ribosomal RNA is filed under the name uncultured bacterium. RNAcentral describes it as "partial 16S ribosomal RNA". It matches the Rfam family "Bacterial small subunit ribosomal RNA", at positions 29 to 507 of the family's 1533-position model. The record is from RNAcentral.
AGUGAACGCUGGCGGUAGGCCUAACACAUGCAAGUCGAACGGCAGCACAGUAAGAGCUUGCUCUUACGGGUGGCGAGUGGCGUACGUGUGAGGAAUACAUCGGAAUCUACUUUUUCGGGGGGGAUAACGUAGGGAAACUUACGCUAGUACCGCAUACGACCUACGGGUGAAAGCAGGGGAUCUUCGGACCUUGCGCGAUUGGAUGAGCCGAUGUCGGGUUAGCUAGUUGGCGGGCUAAAGGCCCACCAAGGCGACGAUCCGUAGCCGGUCUGAGAGGAUGGUCGGCCACACGGGAACUGGGACACCGUCCAGACUCCUACGGGAGGCCGCAGUGGGGAAUAUUGGACAAUGGGCGCAAGCAUGAUCCAGUCAUACCGCGUGUGUGAAGGAGGCCUUCGGGUUGUAAAGACCUUUUGUUGGGAAAGAAAAGCAGCAGGUUAAUACCCAGCUGUUCUGACGGUACCCAAAGAAUAAGCACCGGCUAACUUCGUG